RNAcentral lists this ribosomal RNA (497 nucleotides) under uncultured bacterium. RNAcentral describes it as "partial 16S ribosomal RNA". It matches the Rfam family "Bacterial small subunit ribosomal RNA", at positions 28 to 507 of the family's 1533-position model. The record is from RNAcentral.
GAUGAACGCUGGCGGCGUGCCUAAUACAUGCAAGUCGAGCGAACAGACGAGGAGCUUGCUCCUCUGACGUUAGCGGCGGACGGGUGAGUAACACGUGGAUAACCUACCUAUAAGACUGGGAUAACUUCGGGAAACCGGAGCUAAUACCGGAUAAUAUAUUGAACCGCAUGGUUCAAUAGUGAAAGACGGUUUUGCUGUCACUUAUAGAUGGAUCCGCGCCGCAUUAGCUAGUUGGUAAGGUAACGGCUUACCAAGGCAACGAUGCGUAGCCGACCUGAGAGGGUGAUUGGCCACCACGGAACUGAGACACGGUCCAGACUCCUAAGGGAGGCAGCCGUAGGGAAUCUUCCGGAAUGGGCGAAAGCCUGACGGAGCAACGCCGCGUGAGUGAUGAAGGUCUUCGGAUCGUAAAACUCUGUUAUUAGGGAAGAACAAAUGUGUAAGUAACUAUGCACGUCUUGACGGUACCUAAUCAGAAAGCCACGGCUAACUACGUG